AUGUAUCAUAACCAAAUUCAAACCAUCUUCUUCAACAAUUACCACACGCGAUUCCGCCGACAAACUGCAGCCACUGAUCCAAGAUCGCAAUACACAACCACCAAUCUUCGAAGCCCGUUUACACUAGCCUCCACUAACGACGUCGUCACCCUCAGUCCCAGCGCCGCGAACCCCAGAAUCCGCCGCGCCGUCAAGAUCUCUCCGGAUGCAGAUCCCGUCGCCGGCCGGUUACUCAACCGUGAGCACUGGUUUCGACGUAACGUUAACACUUCAAAAUGUUCUGCUUGA
RNAcentral lists this long non-coding RNA (288 nucleotides) under Vicia faba (fava bean). Lineage: Eukaryota; Viridiplantae; Streptophyta; Magnoliopsida; Fabales; Fabaceae. The record is from RNAcentral.